GACGAACGCUGGCGGCGUGCCUAAUACAUGCAAGUUGAGCGAUGAAGAUUGGUGCUUGCACCAAUUUGAAGAGCAGCGAACGGGUGAGUAACGCGUGGGGAAUCUGCCUUUGAGCGGGGGACAACAUUUGGAAACGAAUGCUAAUACCGCAUAAUAACUUUAAACAUAAGUUUUAAGUUUGAAAGAUGCAAUUGCAUCACUCAAAGAUGAUCCCGCGUUGUAUUAGCUAGUUGGUGAGGUAAAGGCUCACCAAGGCGAUGAUACAUAGCCGACCUGAGAGGGUGAUCAGCCACAUUGGGACUGAGACACGGCCCAAGCUACUACGGGAGGCAGCAGGAGGGAAUCUUCGGCAAUGGGCGAAAGUCUUACCGAGCAACGCCGCGUGAGUGAAGAAGGUUAUCGGAUCGUAAAAAUCUGUUGGUAGAGAAGAACGUUAGUGAGAGUGGAAAGCUCAUCAAGUGACGGUAACUACCCAGAAAGGGACGGCUAACUACGUG
This 497-nucleotide ribosomal RNA is filed under the name uncultured bacterium. Its description in RNAcentral is "partial 16S ribosomal RNA". It matches the Rfam family "Bacterial small subunit ribosomal RNA", at positions 28 to 507 of the family's 1533-position model. The record is from RNAcentral.